RNAcentral lists this ribosomal RNA (490 nucleotides) under uncultured bacterium. RNAcentral describes it as "partial 16S ribosomal RNA". It matches the Rfam family "Bacterial small subunit ribosomal RNA", at positions 30 to 507 of the family's 1533-position model. The record is from RNAcentral.
AUUGAACGCUGGCGGCAGGCCUAACACAUGCAAGUCGAGCGGUAACAGGAAACAGCUUGCUGUUUCGCUGACGAGUGGCGGACGGGUGUGUAAUGUCUGGGAAACUGCCUGAUGGAGGGGGAUAACUACUGGAAACGGUAGCUAAUACCGCAUAACGUCGCAAGACCAAAGAGGGGGACCUUCGGGCCUCUUGCCAUCGGAUGUGCCCGGAUGGGAUUAGCUAGUAGGUGGGGUAACGGCUCACCGAGGCGACGAUCCCUAGCUGGUCUGAGAGGAUGACCAGCCACACUGGAACUGAGACACGGUCCAGACUCCUACGGGAGGCAGCAGUGGGGAAUAUUGCACAAUGGGCGAAAGCCUGAUGCAGCCAUGCCGCGUGUAUGAAGAAGGCCUUCGGGUUGUAAAGUACUUUCAGCGGGGAGGAAGGGAGUAAAGUUAAUACCUUUGCUCAUUGACGUUACCCGCAGAAGAAGCACCGGCUAACUCCGUG